CGCGUUUAGSYCCAGCCAUGCAUGUGUAAGUAUAAAUAAUUUUACUUUGAAACUGCGAAUGGCUCAUUAUAUCMSUUAUAGUUUAUUAGAAAUACUUUACUAMUUGGAUAACCGUAGUAAUUCUAGGGCUAAUACAUGACUAAAUCCUCAACUUCGGAAGAGGUGUGUUUAUUAGUAUGAAAACCAUAUAUCUUCGGAUAUAAUAGUGAGUAAUAAUAACCUUUCGUAUCGUAUGUCGUAAGAUAACGAUAGUUCUUUCAAGUUUCUGCCCUAUCAGCUUUCGAUGGUAGUAUAUGGGACUACCAUGGCAGUAACGGGUAACGAAGAAUUUGGGUUCGAUUUCGGAGAGGGAGCCUGAGAGAUGGCUACCACAUCCAAGGAAGGCAGCAGGCGCGUAAAUUACCCAAUCCUGACAUAGGGAGGUAGUGACAAUAAAUCACAAUGCGGAACUAUUUAGUUUUGCAAUUGGAUUGAGAACAAUGUACAAAUGUUAUCGAUAAACAAUUGGAGGGCAAGUCUGGUGCCAGCAGCCGCGGUAAUUCCAGCUCCAAUAGCGUAUAUUAACGUUGUUGCAGUUAAAAAGCUACMAAYAMA
RNAcentral lists this ribosomal RNA (594 nucleotides) under Blastocystis sp. RNAcentral's name for it is "SSU rRNA". It matches the Rfam family "Eukaryotic small subunit ribosomal RNA", at positions 33 to 639 of the family's 1831-position model. The record is from RNAcentral. Lineage: Eukaryota; Bigyra; Opalinata; Blastocystidae.